Tripterygium wilfordii is the source of this 2230-nucleotide long non-coding RNA. RefSeq lists it as uncharacterized. The record is from RefSeq and is a predicted model, not a curated record. Lineage: Eukaryota; Viridiplantae; Streptophyta; Magnoliopsida; Celastrales; Celastraceae. The transcript is spliced from 4 exons.
GCAACUGGAGCCUCGAUCCCGCAUUUCCGCCUUGGCAGUUAGCACGCAAGUUGGAGGCUCGAUCCCACCUUAGCAAGUUUGCAUUGCGCUCCUCUAGGGUUUCUCUGUUUCUUCUUUCCUCUACAAUCUCUACACUCUGAGCUUCACUCACACAUUCUGUGCCAACUAUGAUUUCUCGUUAAUACCUAGAAUUUGAACUUGGUAACUGCUUUCAUGGACCGACUCUCGCUGUCACGAGCUCUCUCCCUCCGAUCUUCUCAUCUCAAUCUCCCUCCUCCGAAAACAGGAUGCAGUUGUGUUCUAUCCGCGCUGGCAACGCGAGGCGAUGCACGAAAUAAUGGCUCGAUGAUUCUCUGGUUCGAGCAGUAUCUCCUAUUCCACGAUCAUCCGGGCCUUAUCGCCGCCUUCUAACAUCAGGCAGUGGACCCGUGGUUCUCUGGCAGAAUCCGACCAUCCGGGCCCCGUAGUGCCUUGUGUCCGCCUCGACGCAGGCCGUGGUUCCUCUCCGCAGCUUCCAUCACCUGAUUCUUUCUGGAUUUGGCUGGAACCUGCAUGACGCUGCCCUGAGAUCAAUGGAUGCAUGAUAGAUUACACAUUGCUAAAACUCAGGAUGGAGCUUUGUUUGCUCCAGUGUAUCUAGAAGGAGAGUGUGUUUUGAAGCGAUCAAGUUUAUGAAAGACAGAAAUGCUGGUUUUCUAUCUCUCUCUGGAUAGUGAGCAGUCUCUGUUACUACAGCAGUUGAUAUGGAGAUACUGCAUAUAUCGUGGAGCCUAUUCAAUAAGAUAUGGAGAUAGAAUGGGCCAUUGAAUUCAGGUUCGGCUGUAAACUGCAUCCAUUUGUUUGGUGGUUAGAUUCUUUAAGGACUGUUUCUAUCGGGUAUGUCUCAUUCAAAGUUCUUGCCUUGUCACUGUUUAAAGAAACGGAUGCAUUUUUUUUCAAGAGAAAUACUUGACCAAUUUUUUUUGGAUAUUUGUGACCUUCCACUAAAAACUUAUCCUUUUCAGCACUCGUCUGUUGGUCAUAAGGUCCAGCCAUUCUUCUUGUGCAUUGUUUUGGUACUUUUGGGAUCACUACCGUGGCGACAUAAACAGUCAAGAUGAAGUCGGAUAUUCUCUCAGGUUGUGCUGAACUCAUAAAUUCAUGGUUAUUGUAAUGACUUUCAUAUGAUGACAAGAAAUCUUUGCUUUAGAUCUCCUUAAUCGGAUGCUUAAGUUCUUUGCUCAGAGAGCUGUACUUUUGGAAUAAAUAAUCUCUUAAGACCAUAGGCCUUAUAUAGUUAUUGAUGCUUUGGUAAUGAAUACUGUGUUAUGUCAUAUUGAAUCUCUUUCAUCGGUAAGCUUGUGAAGUAAUAGUCUUAUAUUGGUUGUAAUGAUGAGAUUGUUAUCCAAUAAAUGUAAAAUUGGAAAUGAUCAUGGUUUGUUGCCUAGACAAGCAUAUAGAAGUACGGUAUUUGUGGAAAAGAGUAAAAAUGAAGAUGAAAGAUUCAAUCGAGCUUGACAAAAAGAAAUGUGAUAUGUGUAUUCACGCACGCCUUGUAAAUAUUUGUUAACCUUGCUUUGACAUAUUUCAGAAAUAGUGAAUUUUUUUUAGGAAUAUUUAAACUUUAUGGUUUUUUCUCACACUUUAUUUGGGAAUCCUAGAGGACACUUGCAGCUGGAGAACGGCGAAGCUGUUUGAUUUUCUUUUCAAGAUUUCUGUUUAUUUGGACAUACUAAUUUUCGUUCAUGACAUGAGCAAUUAGAUUUAUUAUGUUAAUUAUGCUGAUUUUACCUUGUCAUCUCUCAAGAAAAAUUGCCCUUUUGAUUUUGUUAUUACAGUUUCUUCUGCCUCCACACCCCUUAAUCAACCAAUAUAUCACACAUUGAUUAUUAUGGAUCUCUGUAAGGUAAUAUUCAAGCUUUUAGAUUACUCGUUUUGGAUUCCUGUGUCAGUUGUUCCAGACAUUCAAUUUAAUUCACAAGCAUAAUCAGUUUUGAAACCACUACAGUUUAAUAGUUUAUCAUAUUCAUAAAGUGUUCUGAGUAUGAUAUUUUAUUGUUAGGCCUUCCUGGUGCCCUUCUUGAUUGAUAGCUGGAGCGCUUUGUUGCCUUUUUGAGACGAUAACUGACUUUGAUAUUGAGUGUUAAAUAAGGCUUAUCAUUUCAUUUUGUAAGUCUAGACUGUUAAAUCUUGUAACAUUCACUUGUAUUCAUUUAAAGAAAGCAAUAAAAGUUCCUAGGAAUCCUGUGAA